CUUUAAACUCAGAUUUAAAUCUCAAUUAGGGAUUCAUUUAAAAUUUACAGGUGAGGAGGUUUAAAGAAAAUAAAGUGCACCUACAGUUACAAUUAUGUGGCUGAUUGAACAAAGACAGAAACAGCGGGUGUGUCGUCAGGUCUCAGAGAGAAAAGAAAAGAAGACAGGAUCGCGGCCGCACCUCUCGUUUCUCACGCCCGCUCCAUGCCUGCUCUUGAACGGCGAUCAAACGGACAGGGCGCCACUGUCACGAGCGAAGCCAAGAACCACCCUUGCCAAGACUUGUCAACUCAACCAUCUCACCCACACAGAAAGACAAGGACCUUGGUAUCACGUUAGACAACUGUCCUUUAGUCUGUUUAUAAAACGUUUGCAAGACCUUCUCUUACCUGCUCAGAUUCUGCGUCAGGCCUCAGUCGGAUCCCAUCUUCACUCCUGCAACUUACUUCAAGCUGGCCUCCCUUGUUAUUACAUGGUAUGCCGCUCUCACUUGGCUCCAGUUGAUCACCAACUGCUUCAUUAUACACUCUCUCUUGAUAGGAUCCGUAAAGCCAUUAAACUGUUCAGAACCAACAACAAAAUCGCUCCUUAAUGCCAUGAAAGAGGAAGUCAUCCUCUACAGCGAUGCAAGGCCAGUUAUAAGUCUGAGUACUCCCACCAAUGUCACCGUGGACUUGACUCUCUAUGGAAUCUUAGGAGUG
This 701-nucleotide long non-coding RNA is filed under the name Sinocyclocheilus grahami. RNAcentral's name for it is "lncRNA (ENSSGRG00000039596.1)". The record is from RNAcentral. Lineage: Eukaryota; Metazoa; Chordata; Actinopteri; Cypriniformes; Cyprinidae.